AGGCAUGGCUGGACUCGCGCUUAUAGGGGCCAUUCUGCAAAACGAAAACUAAAAGGAGCUCUAACGGCCUGCUCUCAGCACAGGAAAAAUGCACUACGGCACGCCAAUUUUACCAAGAGUAUCCUUGUCCCUCAUCAUAUUCUCUCUUACUUUCAAUGGAAGCAAAGCAAACCCACUUCUACUCAAUCACUCUCUCGUCUCAAUACUUGUAAACAUAAAAUCAGAUCAGGCAGGAUCUUACGAAAUCGAUCAAGGAUUUCAACGGAGAUCGCCAGGCUCUGAACCCAAUAAAUCUGCCUCUCGAUCAGAUUGUGGAAAUUGGAGGGUAUGUAGUUGGGCCCGGCCCGUGCUGCUCAGCCCUAGUUCUACUUUAUAAUAAAAGCCCCUCUCUCUUACGACUAACGGGGGGAAGCUAGGGUACUCUCUCCCCUGUGCGGCUACAGUCCCAAAUCCUAGCCAGGGAUCCUCAUCUUUCGCCGCGUUUGACUCAGUUAUGUCUAUGAAGGGGGAGUCUUCAUCAAAGCAGGGAGAAGAAAUAUCUGUUUUUGUAUUGGUGACUACCUUUGAGGGUGACUUCUAUGGUGCAUUAUUUGAAGUAAAACUGGAUCGAAGAGGUCAAGUCAUGGGUGGAUGUGGAGCAACUCAGCCCCCACUACUUGACCCUGUAGCACGUUUCUUUGAAAAGGAUAGUAAUAUUCCUGAAUUUUAUACCUUCGGUGGUGUUUGCAUAUGCAACAAGUUAUAUCUAUUGCUCAGUAGUGGUUCAGACAUUGGUCCAUGCAAUGAUGAUGAUGAGAUCACCACUCCUAAGAAGCCUGACUCUUUGAAUGGAUACAUUUUGGACAUUAAGACUAGGGCACUCGUUAAGUUCAGCCCUCCCAAAGCAUCUAAGUCAUCUGGAACUGUUAUACAUGCGUACGAGAAAAUUUAUUUUCUUUUAGAUCCAUUUUGCUUCCCAUGUGAACCAGAAGAUUCUUUCGAGCGCUAUGAUCCGAUCAAUGACUCUUGGGAAUCACUGAAGCCUUUUCCGUAUUCUAAGGAUUGGGCCACAACAAAGAUAACCGGUCACGCCGUUUAUGAUGGGUCCAUUUUGUUUUCUAUAUAUGGCCACAGGCAACCGGCAGUGAUGGCUUAUCAUGAAAAUAGAGAUUAUUGGGAGCCAGUCAAAGUUGAGGACUUUUGUUGGAGUGGAAAGGCCUUGGUUGUAGGCAAUACUAUGUAUGCCUUAUCCUUGCAACCUGGGGAGGUUAUAGCAUUCUCUAUCAUAACGGAUCAAACUGAUGAAGGUCAUGCUGCCUUUUCUCUUGGCAAGCCAUCGCUGUUGUCAGGCAUGGAGAUUAAGUUCCCACCGAAUCCUUCAAGGAGAUCACAAUACUUGGCUCAUUUGGGUGGCCUGGAAUUUUGUCUUGUCCAGAGUGGUUUCACAUACAAAGGCAAUGAUCGGCAACCUCUUUCUAUCACCACAUUUCGAAUUGAGGAGGGAAACAAUAUCAAGAUCUUACAUUCAGCAGUUCGUGAUGUGGAUAUUGAGGGCUUUAGUGGUUUCCUUGUUAGCUUCUGCUUCACGCAGUAAGUUCAUCACCUUUUCUGGUCAUUUCCUCUUUAAAUAAUUUUUUGAAAAGUCACUUUUAUAUGAAUUCUGGUUCUGGUUUUAUCUUUGACUCCGAGAAUGUGAAGACAUUGAACAUAAAGAAGUUGAUUUAAUGAAACAAUCAUUGAGCAGCCAAAACAAGAAGAAACAAUCAUUCACAGUCCUGACCCUUACCUGAAUUUUGGACUCCUGGACGGGUCCAAAGGUGUUGAGGAGUAAUAACAGCUCUGCGGAAGGAGUGGAGCUCGCGGGCCGUGAAGAAGGUGAAGGUUUCGGUGUCCACAGAGUCAUUCCCCUAAUCAUCAUGGCGAUGAACUUAUCUCCCAAGUUUUGACUUUCUCGGGUUCUCAGCCGUGUUUGAGAGCAGAUGGGAUCUGAGACCCAACUCUGCUAGGGUUUUGAAGAACGCCGACCCCGUAACAGAGUAUUGUAUCUUUGCACCCUCUCCAUCUAUGGACUCUUCUGCGUUUCUCCCUACUAACACUCUUUGCUGUCACUGGUGGACAAGAUGUGGUCUGCCCGGUGGCUGAUCUGGUGUUGGAAUUCAAUGGAGAUUGGUGGGUCGGUUUUGGUGACUUGAUGCUACAACAGAUGUACAGGGAUGGUGGUGGUACGGGUUCACUGGAAAUGAACUAGAAUGCUUGUUGCGGCUUUGGGGAUCUGGAAAGUACCGCCUGUUGGUGGCCUGCUUUAGUUGCAGCGGUGUGCCGACAACAGAAAGACCCAUUAUUACUUGGUCGAGUAGCACUUGGGCUGCUGGAGAUCAAGAUUGGCUCGGGUUUGUCAACUUCGCCAGUGGUCGAGUCCUCUUUUCUUUUGCUUUUACAUUUAUUGGAUUCCUUUUGAGAAAGACAUGAUUAGAUCGAAGCCUCCCGAAGUCUUCUUGGUAAACUAUUUGUGCAAUUACAUAUUUUCUCGUACUAAUAGCGCAUGCAGUGUGGUUGGUUUUGUAUCCCCCUUGCCUUGCCAAGAUCUGCAUUCGAAUCUCUACUUUAAAAAGAAAUCAAGAGCAGAGACAAUAGCUAGGCAACUUUAGAUCAAUGGAGGUGAAGAUGAAACUGAAUGAUCUUGAUUAGGAAGAUGCUCGCCUCUUCAUAUAUAGUGAUCUUAAUCGUUCUAACUCCUAGCUUAUGCUCAUAUAUUUAAAAAAAAAAAAAA
Molecule: RNA transcript, 2749 nt
Organism: Rosa chinensis
Lineage: Eukaryota; Viridiplantae; Streptophyta; Magnoliopsida; Rosales; Rosaceae
Exons: 4
Source: RefSeq, a predicted model, not a curated record